UGCCUCAGUAACGGCGAGUGAAGCGGCAACAGCUCAAAUUUGAAAUCUGGCCUCUUCGGGGUCCGAGUUGUAAUUUGUAGAGGAUGUUUCGGGUACCGCCUCGGUUUAAAUUUCUUGGAACAGAAUGUCAGAGAGGGUGAGAAUCCCGUCUUGGACCGGCGGUAGGGCCCAUGUGAAACUCCUUCGACGAGUCGAGUUGUUUGGGAAUGCAGCUCAAAAUGGGUGGUAAAUUUCAUCUAAAGCUAAAUAUUGGCCAGAGACCGAUAGCGCACAAGUAGAGUGAUCGAAAGAUGAAAAGAACUUUGAAAAGAGAGUUAAACAGUAUGUGAAAUUGUUGAAAGGGAAGCGCUUACAACCAGACUUGAGCGCGGCGGUUCCCCCUUCCUUUUGGUUGGGUUACUCCGCCGUGUCCAGGCCAACAUCGGUUCUGGGGGUCGGUUAAAGGCCUGGGGAAUGUAUCUACUCCUUCGGGGGUAGACUUAUAGCCCCGGGUGUCAUGCGACCACCCGGGACCGAGGAACGCGCUUCGGCUCGGAUGUUGGCGUAAUGGUUGUCAGCGACCCGUCUUGAAACACGGACCAA
This 582-nucleotide ribosomal RNA is filed under the name Exophiala oligosperma. Its description in RNAcentral is "partial 28S ribosomal RNA". It matches the Rfam family "Eukaryotic large subunit ribosomal RNA", at positions 76 to 669 of the family's 3401-position model. Lineage: Eukaryota; Fungi; Ascomycota; Eurotiomycetes; Chaetothyriales; Herpotrichiellaceae. The record is from RNAcentral.